GAUGAAGAACGUAGCGAAAUGCGAUAAGUAAUGUGAAUUGCAGAAUUCAGUGAAUCAUCGAAUCUUUGAACGCACAUUGCGCCCGCCAGUAUUCUGGCGGGCAUGCCUGUUCGAGCGUCAUUACAACCCUCAGGCCCCCGGGCCUGGCGUUGGGGAUCGGCGGAAGCCCCCUGCGGGCACAACGCCGUCCCCCAAAUACAGUGGCGGUCCCGCCGCAGCUUCCAUUGCAUAGUAGCUAACACCUCGCAACUGGAGAGCGGCGCGGCCACGCCGUAAAACACCCAACUUCUGAAUGUUGACCUCGAAUCAGGUAGGAAUACCCGCUGAACUUAAGCAUAUCAAUAAGCGGAGGA
RNAcentral lists this unclassified non-coding RNA (353 nucleotides) under soil metagenome. RNAcentral's name for it is "partial contains 5.8S ribosomal RNA, internal transcribed spacer 2, and large subunit ribosomal RNA". The stretch from base 1 to 120 matches the Rfam family "5.8S ribosomal RNA", at positions 35 to 154 of the family's 154-position model. The record is from RNAcentral.